This 25-nucleotide non-coding RNA is filed under the name Rattus norvegicus (Norway rat). Lineage: Eukaryota; Metazoa; Chordata; Mammalia; Rodentia; Muridae. The record is from RNAcentral.
UAGAGGACAGCACACACUUGGGACA